GACGAACGCNGGCGGCGUGCUUAACACAUGCAAGUCGAACGGGAUGAUUUAGAAGCUUGCUUUUAGAGAAUCUAGUGGCAAACGGGUGAGUAACACGUAGACAACCUGCCGACAGGAUGGGGACAACAUUCCGAAAGGAAUGCUAAUACCGAAUGAAGCGGAGGAGAGGCAUCUCUCUUCCGUGAAAGAUGGCCUCUAUUUAUAAGCUAUCACCUGUCGAUGGGUCUGCGUCUGAUUAGCUAGUUGGUGAGGUAACGGCUCACCAAGGCGACGAUCAGUAGCCGGUCUGAGAGGAUGAACGGCCACAUUGGGACUGAGACACGGCCCAGACUCCUACGGGAGGCAGCAGUGGGGAAUCUUCCGCAAUGGGCGCAAGCCUGACGGAGCAACGCCGCGUGAGUGAAGAAGGUCUUCGGAUCGUAAAGCUCUGUCGAUGGGGACGAACGUGCGAAGGGUGAAUANUCCUUGUAANGACGNUAC
This 480-nucleotide ribosomal RNA is filed under the name uncultured bacterium. RNAcentral's name for it is "bacterial SSU rRNA". It matches the Rfam family "Bacterial small subunit ribosomal RNA", at positions 28 to 478 of the family's 1533-position model. The record is from RNAcentral.